RNAcentral lists this ribosomal RNA (249 nucleotides) under Triticum aestivum (bread wheat). Its description in RNAcentral is "partial small subunit ribosomal RNA". Lineage: Eukaryota; Viridiplantae; Streptophyta; Magnoliopsida; Poales; Poaceae. The record is from RNAcentral.
AUGGCUCAAUUCAUGGAUUUGCGGGCUUUCAUUUUGCGUGCGCGUGUCCUCAAAUUUUAUAGGCAGGCACUGCGUAUGACUCGCCGAGCCCCUGCACAUGCUCGUGAUGAGUUGAGGCAGACAGUACGGGCGGAGAUUGAAAAAAAUCGCAAUUGUGAUGAUAAGCAAAAGAUUAAGUUUUUAAUUAGUGAAGGACUACAGAGAUUGAAGGGUCUUGAUGAGAUGCUUGACAUGACAGGAAACGGAUAA